UAGUAAUUUUCUGAAAUGUUUAAUUGUAGAAUUAUUUUCAAAGUUUUACCAAUAGCCUGCUAAAAUAAAUUGGACCUCAUUUCUGUUAUGUUAAUGACAUGAUCAACUGUUGUUAGCUGUCUGUCUUGAAGAUAUUAUUGACUAAUAUAGACUUUUAAAGCCAAAUCAUAUUUCUGGAAGCGACCCUCUCACAGAAGACAACAAUAUGCUUUUGUCAGCAACGAGAUUGGUGGAUCACAACAAACAGCAAAGUCAAUAAUACUUGACAUAAUAUAAUGCUUUAUCCUGUGGAACCACUGCAUAGCGGUUCAACGUGGCUAAGUUGAAGAGAACCAUGAGAGAUAGCAAGAACGGCAAAUGCUGGAGUCUGAGAUAACACAGUGUGGAGCCGGAUGAACACAGCAGGCCAGGCAGCAUCAGAGGAGCAGGAAAGCUGACGUUUCGGGUCGGGACCCUUCUUCAGGAAAAAAUAUUGAAGAGAACUAUGAUUGUUUUUUAAAGUUGACUGCAACGAUAACAUCCCACAUUAAAAUGACUGACCAGUUAGCUCAAAGCAAAAUGCCGCCAAUACAAAUCGCUUGACCGAGCAGAGGGGUCCAGGAAUCCUGCUGCGGAUCGGGAAUACUGAUCAGCAUCUGGGUGAGCAAAUGGGGAAUGUGAUUCAGUUUUUGAGCACGAUUGAUAAUUUUACUAAUGGAAUCAGCAUACAUUCCCUCUAAGAAAAUAUGUUAUUUCAUAUCUGCAACGUUGGAGAAAUUAAUGUUUAAUCGCUGAAGAUUUGCAGUAACCUACUCUUCCAGACACAAAAAAAAUUGCUUGAAGCUUUUGUCACAGAAAUACACUACUUCCGAGGUUGACUAUAGAAUCAAAAUGUAUAGAUUCCUGCUUAAUCCAACCAAUUAAUGAAAGUUAAGUGCGGAUAUCAACUAACUUAAAUUUUGAUGUGUAUUUCCAUAAACAUUUUCUCUGUGAGACGUGCGCGCUGAAGAGUUAGGAAGUUCUGACCAAGUUUUACGGUGCCACAUCGACCCUCCGGACUUUCCCAUGCGUGCAGUUCCACCCUUCAAGCGGCAGGCGGCGCUCGCUCCAGCUAACGUACAGAUGAUUGACUGCCCAGAUGGCUAAUCGAAGGCCGCUGAUGGGACGUGCGCGCAGAGCAGUGACCAAUAGGCGCCCGCGGUAGGCGGGGCGGGCGGCUCCCCUGGUCGGAGUUGCUGCUUGCGGCUGUUGACGCUGGGCUGGAGAUUGGCUGAGUCCAGACGACUUUUAAAACCUUCGCGACUUCGAAACAAAUAAACAAACAAAAGAAAAAGAGGCGAUGAAAUUACACCAUUUAGAACUUGUGCAGAACCGAUCUCUUCACUUUGCAAGGUUAUGUUGAGGCAAUAGCAGCAUCCAGUGACCAUCUGUUAACAAGAGGCCAGUCCUAGGGAGCCUCAAUUCUGCCUCCAUCUUUGAACUCUCUGAGAAUACACCUGCAAAGUUGUUUACUCUCACCCUCAAUCAGAAACUUUCACCUUGCAACUUAGCAUAACUGAAAAACCAUGGGCAAUUUCAAAGGACAUGCACUUCCUGGAAGUUUUUUCCUCCUAUUUGGCUUGUGGUGGUCAGUGAAAUAUCCUAUGAGGUACCUCUGCAGAAAGAAUAAGAACGUUUGUUACUUGGUAUCAGUCUCAGGGCAUCGACGAUUAGACAUCAUUGAAGGAAUUGUGAAAGCCAGCUUUGCACUAAU
Molecule: long non-coding RNA, 1732 nt
Organism: Rhincodon typus (whale shark)
Lineage: Eukaryota; Metazoa; Chordata; Chondrichthyes; Orectolobiformes; Rhincodontidae
Exons: 3
Source: RefSeq, a predicted model, not a curated record